AACAGAUCACAAGUCACUCGAAGCUAUAUUCAAAAAACCACUGAAUAAAUGUCCUAUGCGUUUACAAAGACUCAGAAUUACCUUACAAAAUUAUGAUUUGAAUGUUAGAUAUAAACCAGGAGCAUUAAUGUAUUUUGCCGAUACUUUGUCGCGUGCUUAUUAUGAUGACAAAAAUUUUGACAUCAUUGAAAAUGAUUUAGAAGCUCAGGUUGGUAUUAUUGAAUUCAAUAGUAUUAGUCCUCAAAAAUUUGAUAUAUUGAGAAUAGAAACUGAAAGAGACAUUGAACUAAUGGAAGUUAUGAAUUACAUAAAAAAUGGGUGGCCUCGAGAUAAAAAUCAGGUAACUCAAUUGGCAAUGCCUUUCUGGAGUGUGAGGGAUGAACUAGUUGAACAGAGAGGUGUAAUUUUCAAGGGUAAUCAGAUGGUUAUUCCAAAAAACAUGAGGGAUGAUAUCAAAGCUAGGUUACAUUACAAUCAUAUGGGCACUGAGAAAACGUUAUUACGAGCUCGCGAUAUGGUCUAUUGGCCAUUUAUGAAUAAAGAAAUAUCUGACACUGUGGGAAAUUGUUCUUCAUGUCGUAGAUUUCAAAAUAGUAAUCAGAGGGAACCUUUGUUAAGUAGAGAUAUUCCCACUCGUCCAUGGCAUACUGUGGCAGCUGAUUUUUUUUAUCUCGAUGGAAAGCAAUUUUUGUUGCUGGUAGAUACUUACUCAAAAUUUCCUGAAAUUAGAUGUUUAGAUAAUGAUACAACCAGUAAAAGAGUAAUUGAUGCCGUAAAAUCUGUUUUUGCCAUUCAUGGUAAACCAGAUAUUUUCUAUAGUGAUAAUGGUCCACAAUUCGCAAAUUUUGAAUUUCAGCAGUUUCUCAAAGAGUGGGAAGUUAUUCAUAAAACUAAUUCGCCAACAUAUUCUCAAUCUAAUGGUUUCAUUGAAAGACAUGUACAAACAGUAAAGAAAAUGUUUAAAAAGGCUUUAUUUGAUGGUAAAGAUUUACAUUUAACACUUCUGGAAUACAGAAAUACACCAAUCGGUCGAGAUACUCCAUCUCCGGCACAACUUUUGUUUGGUCGCACUCUCAAAGGUCAUGUACCUGUAAGAGAAAAUCUUUUGAAGCCUAGGAAUUAUCAUAAAAAUAUGAAUAAAGUUUUCGUAAAUAAUCAAUAUAAACAAAAAUUAUAUUAUAAUAGAAAUGUAAGAAACUUACCUCAUAUAAAAACUGGUGACCAUGUAAUGGUUCAAUUUGGAAGUGUUUGGGAACCAGCAUAAGUUAUUAGAGUUGACAGAAAUAGACCUCGAUCAUUCGUUGUUAAAUUAAAUAAAAAUGGUAGAAUUUACUUGAGAAACAGAAGAUUUUUGAAGAAAAUUUUCUCAAAUUUCUGCAGUGGCACAUCUGAUACAGAGUGUGAUUUGUCUUGUAAUGAUAACGAAAAUCAAAAUAUUGAGAAUGAAGAAGUUAAUGUGAAUAAUGAUAUUUUGGAAAAUGAAAAUGAACCAGGUGGAACACCAAUAAGUGAAACACCAAUAGGUGAAACACCAUUAGGUGAAACACCAAAUGCUGAAGAAGGGGGUGGUAUAUAUAGAACUCGUUUUGGUCGUAUUACAAGAAAACCUUGCCACCUUCAGGAUUAUAUUUAGUUUCAGUUCCUAUGUUGUAAAUGUAAAUGUUCAAAUGUGUUUUAAUUUUGUUUAUUUGAAAAGGGGAAGAUGUAAUGAUAUUAUUCAGUAGAGAUGUAACCGGGGAGAUGGUUCGUUGAGAAAAGUCAGAUUGACAUAGUAUAUUUUGGUACUGAAUUGGAAAUACAUCUUUGUAGUAUUAACAUUUAUUUAAUUGAGAUAAACUCACAACAGGCAAAUCGAAAUGAUAAAUAUAAAAAAGUUCUUGACAGAUUGCCCUCAGUAGCAUCUCUGUUCGAAUCAAGAGAAAUCAUAUAUUCUUCUCUCUCUAAUGCUUUCUCCUCUACGAGCUUCUGAAAAAUCACGUGACACUCGGUCCAUGGUUAUUAGGUCUAUGGCCACAAUACACCGAUAUCGAUGGUCUCUCUCUAAUGCCCAGUCCAUGUUAUUAGCACAGAUUACUAGUCUAGAUUACUUAGUUAGUCUGUGUUAUUAGUGCUUUUCAGUCAGGUGCGUGUCAUCCCGGGGCUCGGUGCUCUAGAGCCCCGCGCCCUCGCUAAGACAGGAAAGCGCCAAGCCCAAAAAAACUGUCAAAUUGAACGUAAACAAUCCAGCGCAGAGAUAGCGUUCAACAGCUGCCUCGUACUUUAUUCAAAGAAAAGGUCUUCUUUCUCUAAAUCUAUAAUUCAGCAUAGAAUGCAGCGCCCUUUCUCCAGCAUUUUGCUGGUACAGCGCUGUCAAGCGCAUCUCUUUCAGCGAGCGCAUUCAACAGCGCUGACUUUCCGAACUCCCCAAUGAUUCUAUGUGAAAACUAACUGUCAUGCGCCAGAAUUCCCUUCAAAUAUGAUUUUGACAUUCAUGUUAAUUUGUUCCAAACAAAAACCAUUUAUGUUUUCUGUUGUUUGUUGUUUCCCAUUUUAAACAUAGAAUCUUUGUUGGAGCUAGCGGUAUUUAUUUCUCAAAAUCUGAACAUUCUAAAUUUGUAAACGAUGUCUUCAGAACAAUUUCUAAUUUCAGAGGGCAAAACAUAACAUCUACAGUACUUCUAGAAAAAUCUGUAAGGAAGUUGGUGUCCAACUUGGUCUAGAAUAUGAAGUUAAUGCAUUGGAUCUAAUUGCUGAACUUGCUUUCAAAAAAUUAUGU
Harmonia axyridis is the source of this 2755-nucleotide RNA transcript. It is a transcript of the gene named centromere protein S-like, with no coding region annotated. The record is from RefSeq and is a predicted model, not a curated record. NCBI's taxonomy places the organism in Eukaryota, Metazoa, Arthropoda, Insecta, Coleoptera, Coccinellidae. The transcript has 3 exons.